Molecule: long non-coding RNA, 5168 nt
Filed under: Ananas comosus (pineapple)
Lineage: Eukaryota; Viridiplantae; Streptophyta; Magnoliopsida; Poales; Bromeliaceae
Description: long non-coding RNA (ACOM_LNC036510)
Source: RNAcentral
ACUAAUGGUGCGGAUACCGGAGGGUCAAGAGUCCCUUAGAGUUUCUAGGUAGUCAAUAAAUGUAUGACUCUUCGAGUUUCUAUGAUAUUUAUUAGAACUCUUGGGAGACCGCGUGGCCUUCCCUUUUGGCUAGUAGUAUUGUGCCACUUGGCACCUUUCCAUUAGCAUUAUGGGCGGCGAGUGGCCUAUAAAUAGUGUGGCCUCCACCCCCUCUCAUUUCAGAAUCUCAUAUUGUAUUCUCAAGUUUAAAGUAAUAGAAGAGCUUUCUUCAUAUCUCUCUCUUGUACUUAGUCUAGGGCGAGUGAGGUCCUAACUUAGCAAGUAGAGAGGCAGGCUUGCUCACUUCACGAAGGAAGGUGAGCGCCGCACGGAUUUUGCGAACCAAACCGUUAAGUCCGUGACAGUUGGUAUCAGAGCCGGUUCGAGAAGGAGCCAUGUCGUCAUCAGAGGCCGGUGCUGACGACGUUGGGGGUGAACCCUCCAAGCAACCCUCCAAGCGGAGCGAGGGCAAGGACACGCGAAUCACGAAGGAUUCCGCGUCGGUCGAGGACCGCCUUGCACUAUUGGAGGACAUUCUAUCAAAGGUGGGAGAAAGGUACACCGAGAUGGCCGAUACCUUUAACGCCUUUAAUGAUGAUAUUCGCAGUAUGGAGGAGAGCGUCGCCACUGCCAUGGCGACCUUUCGAGGCGAGCUCGAGAAGCUCCAAGGCAACAUCACCCGUCGUGGCGAGGAGCGGAAGAACUUGAGCGAGGAGCUAGUCACUUGAGUCGACGAGGUAGAGGAUCUCAAGACGAGAGUGACUAUCCUUGAGAAGGCGGUGGCUCGAGGCGGUGAAACGCAGAAGGAGUACACCCCAAAGGUCCGCGUCCCUGAACCCCAAUGCUUCAAGGGAACGCACGACGAAAAGGAGAUAGACAACUUCCUUUGGCACAUAGAGCGCUAUCUCAAGGUGCUGCGGAUCGAGGACGAGGAGGACAAGGUCCAGACCGCUUCCAUGUACCUCACCGACGAUGCGAUGCUGUGGUGGCGUCGGCGUUCUGCAAAGGCCGAGAAGGGCCAAUGCAAACUGGAUACUUGGGAGGACUUCGUGGGCGAACUGAAAGAACAGUUCUACCCCGAGCGCGUCGAAUACUAGGCGCGGAGGCAACUUCGACGGCUCAAGCAUACAGGAUCCCUCAAGGAGUAUGUCAAGGAAUACUCCAAGCUUAUGCUUGCCAUCACCAGCAUGGCCGAGGAGGAUCGGCUGUUCUUCUUUCUCGACGGUCUCCAACCAUGGGCUAACAAGGAGCUCGUGGCGAGGGACGUCAAAGAUGUGAGCUCCGCUAUCGCUCAAGCGGAGAAACUGCUGGAGUAUGACAAGCCGGACUUCGCUCAUGGCAAACCAUCUAAGGCGGGCAAGACCAAAGGUAGGGGAGACCGCCGCGAGCAGCCUAAUCACAAGGGCCAAGAGCGAAAAGGCCCUCUGCAGAAGAAGAAGACGAUCUCUUGCUAUGUCUGCGGGGGUGAUCACUGGGCGAGAGAUUGCCCAAAGAAGAAGACCAUCAAUGCCAUCCAAGCCGAGGAGGGCGAGGAAUUAGCGGAGACGAAGAUGGGCACGCAACGACUCGUCAACGCGAUCCAGGGGCAGGCGAGCAGCAAACCGCUCAAGAAGGAGCUACUGUUCGUGGACGUGACCCUCAAUGGGAGGGCCACUCGAGCGCUCGUGGACACUGGAGCGACCCACAACUUCAUCGCCGAGUCUGAGGCCAAGCGGCUGGGCCUCACACUCGAGAAGGACACGAGCAAGAUCAAAGCUGUCAACUCGGUGGCACAGCCUGUCGUGGGAGUAGCAAAAGGGGUGACGAUCGCUGUAGGACCCUGGUCGGGUACAGCGAACUUCACCGCCGCGACCAUCGACGACUUCAAAGUCAUUCUCGGCAUCGAUUUUCUAGCUUCAUCGAAAGCGGUCUCGAUGCCGCAUCUCGAGGCCUUGAGCAUCAUGGAUGAGGCAGCCCCGUGCAUGGUCUUGGCGAGCCGUAGCAAGCCAGCGGCAACCCACACCCUCUCUGCUCUGCAACUGCGGAAGGGGGUGAAGCGUGGCGAAAUCACUUACCUUGCAGCCAUCCGCGAGGUGAGCGAAGAGGACCUCGAGGAGGAGGGCCCUCCAGCAGUGAUCGAUGUAGUCCUCGGGGAGUUCAAGGACGUCAUGCCCUAGGAGUUGCCCAAGAGACUUCUACCUAGGCGGGAGGUAGACCAUGCGAUCGAGCUAAAGCCAGGAGAAAAGCCACCAGCAAAGGCACCAUACUGCAUGGCCCCGCUAGAGCUCGAGGAGUUGCAGCGUCAACUGAAGGACCUCCUCGAUGCGGGCUUCAUCAGGCCGUCGAAGGAACCCUACAGAGCACCAGUCUUGUUCCAAAGGAAGAGCGACGAAAGCCUGCGGCUCUGUAUUGACUACAGAGCGUUCAACAAGGUGACGGUAAAGAAUAAGUACCCUAUUCCCCUUGUUGCUGACUUGUUUGACCAGCUUGGCGGAGCGAAGUUCUUCACCAAAUUGGACCUUCGCUCGGGGUACUACCAAGUUAGGAUCGCGGAGGGCGAUGAGGAGAAAACGGCAUGUGUGACGAGGUAUGGAGCCUAUGAGUUCCUCGUCAUGCCAUUCGGCCUGACGAAUGCGCCGGCGACCUUCUGCACCCUGAUGAACAAGCUAUUCCACCCCUACCUCGACCGCUUGGUGGUAGUGUACCUCGACGACAUCGUCGUGUACAGCAACACUCUGGAGGAGCACGUCGAGCAUUUGCGGACGAUCUUCCAAGUACUGCGAAAAAACCAACUCUAUGUCAAGAAGGAGAAGUGCUCCUUUGCGAAGGAGGAUGUGCACUUCCUUGGCCACUAGAUCGGCCGAGGAGAACUCCACAUGGACCAGCAGAAAGUGCGGGCGAUCGGCGAGUGGGAAGCGCCCACGACGGUGUCCGAGCUGCGAUCCUUUCUCGGACUCGUCAACUACUAUCGUCGUUUCAUCGCGGGCUACUCCGCUCGAGCGGCCCCUUUGACAGAUCUGCUGAAGAAGACCCAGUCAUGGGACUGGACCCCUCGAUGCGCGGAGGCAUUCGAGGACUUAAAGCGGGCGGUGACAGAGGAUCCGGUGUUGCGGCUUCCCGACUGCAACCGUCCAUUCGAGGUACAUACUGACGCCUCGGACUUUGCCAUUGGUGGUGUUCUCGUGUAGGACGGACACCCCAUCGCCUAUGAGAGCCGCAAGCUCAACAACACUGAGCGGCGAUACACGGUGCAAGAGAAGGAGAUGACCGCCGCAGUGCACUGCCUCAGGACUUGGCGGCACUAUCUCCUUGGAAGCAAGUUCGUUGUGCGGACGGACAAUGUUGCGACGAGCUACUUCCUCACUCAGAAGAAGCUGUCACCCAAGCAGGCAAGGUGGCAGGACUUCCUGGCGGAGUUCGACAUGGAGCUCUUGUACAAACCCGGGAAGGAGAACCAUGUAGCUGACGCACUCAGCCGUAAGGCCGAGUUGGCAGCGGUGUGCCAGCUCCAAGGCGCAAUCAGGGAGCAAAUCCGCGAAGGGACUUGCGAGGACCCUGUGGCCCAAGGACUCGUGCGACUCGUCAAGGAGGGCAAGGCGCAGCGGUUCUGGCUUAGCGAUGGGCUGCUCCUCACCAAGGGGCGGCGUGUCUAUGUGCCCAAAUGGGGCAACCUUCGUCGCGAGCUCAUGAAGGAGUGUCGGACCUUCAUCUCCGCCUUGCCCAAGGUGGGGACGUUGGGGUCCAUCCUCGUGGUGGUAGACCGAUUCUCCAAGUACGGGACUUUCAUCGCGGCACCAGCAGAUUGCACAGCGGAAGAAGUGGCGCGGCUCUUCGUCAGCAAUGUGGUGAAGCUUUGGGGUGUCCCCGAAAGCAUUGUGAGUGACCGUGACCCUAGGUUCACGGGCAAGUUCUGGACAGAGGUGUUCCAGAUCUUGGGGUCGGAGUUGCUCUUUUCCACCAGUUUCCAACCCACAGACGGACGGCCAGACGGAGCGGGUGAACGCCCUACUGGAGGAGUACCUGCGGCACUAUGUCAGUGCCAACCAGAAGGACUCGGUGCAUCAUCUGGACGUGGCCCAGUUCUCCUACAACUUGCGGCGGAGCGAGUCAACCAACCUUAGCUCGUUCGAGCUAGCAACGGGGAGGCAACCACUCACUCCGUAUUCUGCUGCUGCGGGCGAGCAGGGCCGCAGCCCAAUGGCUCUCCAAUUCACUUCUCAUUUGUAGGAGAAAUGAGACAUUGCGAGAGCCUAUCUCGAGAAGGCAGCCCGCCGAAUGAAAAAGUGGGCCGAUGCAAAGCGGCGACCCUUGGAGUUUGCCGAGGGAGAUCGAGUGUUGAUCAAGCUGCAACCACAACAGUUCAAGGCAUUUCGCAAAGUACACCGUGGGCUUUGCGAAAGUACGAGGGGCCUUUCACUGUCAUCAAGCGAGCGGGCAAGCCUACAAACUGCAACUCCCCGCCAACCUGAAGAUUCAUCCUGUCUUUCAUGCUAGUUGCCUGCGGCCCUACCAUGAAUACGCUGAGGACCCGAGCCGGGGCGUGUCGCAGCGCGCUCCCGCCACUAUGACCACUGCAAUCGACAAGGAGGUCGAAGCCUUGCUGGAUACUCGCACCAUUCGGCGUCGCGGAGUCCCGAGGAGCGUCGAGUACCUUGUCAAGUGGAAGAAUCUCCCACAUGGCGAGGCACGCUGGGAGAAGGCUAACACUCUCUGGAAGUAUCAGAAGCUGAUCGAUGACUUCCAACACCAGCGCGCGACGAGGGCGUCUGCGCAAUAGGUCGGGGAGGUUGUCAUGACAUAAAGAUUUUCUCCGCGAUUUUUCUUUGCAAUCACCCAAACUCCAAAGCGGACAUCUGACGGAGGUUUUGGCUUAGAAUCUUCUAGAAGCUUCUACGCGGAUCUUGAGACUAAUGGUGCGGAUACCAGAGGGUCAAGAGUCCCUUAGAGUUUUUAGGUAGUCAAUAAAUGUAUGACUCUUCGAGUUUCUAUGAUAUUUAUUAGGACUCUUGGGAGACCGCGUGGCCUCCCCUUUUGGCUAGUAGUAUUGUGCCACUUGGCACCUUUUCAUUGGCAUUAUGGGCGGCGAGUGGCCUAUAAAUAGUGUGGCCUCCACCCCCUCUCAUUUCAGAAUCUCAUAUUGUAUUCUCAAG